GCCGCGGUAGCUCAGCUGGGAGAGCGUUAGACUGAAGCUUAGCGAUCCCCGCUCGGUAGCAAUCUACAGGUCACCUGUUCAAGCCAGGUUCGUGGCA
This 97-nucleotide transfer RNA is filed under the name Rhizoctonia solani 123E. It matches the Rfam family "tRNA". Rfam says of the family: Transfer RNA (tRNA) molecules are approximately 80 nucleotides in length. Their secondary structure includes four short double-helical elements and three loops (D, anti-codon, and T loops). The record is from Rfam by way of RNAcentral. Lineage: Eukaryota; Fungi; Basidiomycota; Agaricomycetes; Cantharellales; Ceratobasidiaceae.